This 232-nucleotide ribosomal RNA is filed under the name uncultured bacterium. RNAcentral describes it as "partial 16S ribosomal RNA". It matches the Rfam family "Bacterial small subunit ribosomal RNA", at positions 15 to 236 of the family's 1533-position model. The record is from RNAcentral.
GAUCAUGGCUCAGGAUAAACGCUGGCGGCGCACAUAAGACAUGCAAGUCGAACGAACUUAACCAUUAGUUUACUAUUGGUAGCGGUUAGUGGCGGACUGGUGAGUAACACGUAAGCAACCUGCCUAUCAGAGGGGAACGAACAGUUAGAAAUGACUGCUAAUACCGCAUAUGCCUUAGAAUCACAUGGUUCGAAAAGGGAAAGGAGCAAUCCGCUGAUAGAUGGGCUUGCGU